This 440-nucleotide ribosomal RNA is filed under the name uncultured bacterium. Its description in RNAcentral is "partial 16S ribosomal RNA". It matches the Rfam family "Bacterial small subunit ribosomal RNA", at positions 28 to 507 of the family's 1533-position model. The record is from RNAcentral.
GAUGAACGCUGGCGGCAUGCUUAGCACAUGCAAGUCGGACGGGAAGUGGUGUUUCCAGUGGCGGACGGGCGAGUAACGCGUAAGAACCUGCCCUUGGGAGGGGAACAACAGCUGGAAACGGCUGCUAAUACCCCGUAGGCUGAGGAGCAAAAGGAGGACUCCGCCGGGGGAGGGGCUCGCGUCUGAUUAGCUAGUUGGUGGGGCAGUGGCUUACUAAGGCUAUGAUGGGUAGCCGGUCUGAGCGGGUGAUCGGCCACACUGGGACUGAGAUACGGCCCAGAAUCCUACGGGAGGCAGCAGUGGGGAAUAUUGAACAAUGGGCGGAAGACUGAUGCAGCAACGCCGCGUGAGGGAUGAAGGACUUCGGGUUGUAAACCGCUUUCGCCUGUGAAGAAGCGUGAGUGACGGUAAUGGGUAAAGAAGCACCGGCUAACUACGUG